GGGUCAGUAGGUUGGUCGUGCCACCGGUACGUACUGGUAUCACUUAUUCCUCCUUCCUGAAGAACCGUAAUGCCAUUAAUUUGGUGUUGCGGGGAAACAGGACUGUUACUUUGAAAAAAUUAGAGUGUUUAAAGCAAGCUAACGCUUGAAUACAUUAGCAUGGAAUAAUGAAAUAGGACGAUCGAUCCUAUUUUGUUGGUUUCUAGGAUUGACGUA
This 216-nucleotide ribosomal RNA is filed under the name Glomeromycotina sp. Its description in RNAcentral is "partial small subunit ribosomal RNA". The stretch from base 38 to 216 matches the Rfam family "Eukaryotic small subunit ribosomal RNA", at positions 684 to 864 of the family's 1831-position model. Lineage: Eukaryota; Fungi; Glomeromycota. The record is from RNAcentral.